AUGCUUGUCUACUCGAAGUCCAACUCCGAAUAUGGCUUGGAUUUGUUCUAGAGAGGGUGAAAGCCCCGUACGGGUAGACUUUUUGUCUUUAAAGCAUUCCUUAGAUGUUCAUGUUUUAGAGUCGGAUUGCUUGAGAAUGCAGUCCAAAGUGGGUGGUAAACUCCAUCCAAGGCUAAAUACCUGCACGAAUCCGAUAGUAGACAAGUACCGCGAGGGAAAGUUGAAAAGUACUCUGAAGAGAGAGUAAAUAGUACGUGAAGCCGUUUGCAUGGAAGCUGGUGGAGUCAAGCUUCUCGUUUUAAGAAUUGACAUGGAGAACUUUGUUUGUGGGCAGACUAUUCAUUGGCUUGAAAACGACCAGACGGUUCGCCGUCUCAUCUAUUCUUGGCAGUGUAUAUGUUGUGAAUUUGCCUUGCCCAUUCUCUUAUGUUAUUUCUUUUUACGAGUAUCACUGUGAAUGUGUGUCAUUAUGCGGCGUAGUCAAACCGUGUUUUAGAGGGUCUUCUGGCUCACUAGGCAUGGGAUGGCAUGUGGAUGUAGGCCGGAUUCGUCUGGUCUGCUUCGUAUAAUAGCUUCGCUUGCUGGUUGCGUCGCUUAUUGAUUAUUGCACAUAUUCUUCCUAUUGUAGUGGUGUCCGAAAUGGUAGCCACUAUCUAGAGCAGUGGUAUUGAAGUAGAUG
Molecule: ribosomal RNA, 679 nt
Filed under: Cornudiscoides sp. 3 JV-2019
Lineage: Eukaryota; Metazoa; Platyhelminthes; Monogenea; Dactylogyridea; Ancylodiscoididae
Description: partial large subunit ribosomal RNA
Rfam family: Eukaryotic large subunit ribosomal RNA
Source: RNAcentral